AACGAACGCUGGCGGCAUGCCUAACACAUGCAAGUCGAACGAGACCUUCGGGUCUAGUGGCGCACGGGUGCGUAACGCGUGGGAACCUGCCCUUAGGUUCGGAAUAACUCCCCGAAAGGGGUGCUAAUACCGGAUAAUGUCUUCGGACCAAAGAUUUAUCGCCUUUGGAUGGGCCCGCGUUGGAUUAGCUAGUUGGUAGGGUAAAAGCCUACCAAGGCGACGAUCCAUAGCUGGUCUGAGAGGAUGAUCAGCCACACUGGGACUGAGACACGGCCCAGACUCCUACGGGAGGCAGCAAUGGGGAAUAUUGGACAAUGGGCGAAAGCCUGAUCCAGCAAUGCCGCGUGAGUGGUGAAGGCCUUAGGGUUGUAAAGCUCUUUUACCCGGGAUGAUAAUGACAGUACCGGGAGAAUAAGCUCCGGCUAACUCCGUG
Molecule: ribosomal RNA, 433 nt
Filed under: uncultured bacterium
Lineage: Bacteria
Description: partial 16S ribosomal RNA
Rfam family: Bacterial small subunit ribosomal RNA
Source: RNAcentral